RNAcentral lists this long non-coding RNA (8839 nucleotides) under Lactuca sativa (garden lettuce). RNAcentral's name for it is "long non-coding RNA (LSAT_LNC003556)". The record is from RNAcentral. Lineage: Eukaryota; Viridiplantae; Streptophyta; Magnoliopsida; Asterales; Asteraceae.
UUGCUUUGAAGCAACACAAACAUACAAACAUAUAUACAAUAUUUAAUGAAAUAUUAUCUAUAUUACAUUCUGUCACACCCUAGGUCGACGGCGGAAACGCCGAGGUGCGCGACGUAACCAGUAAUCACAGUUAUUGAACAUACAUUGAACAUCACAAAUUUAAUCUUUUAUUAUUACCGAAAUGGAAAUUACAUUGACAGUAGUUAUUGUUGAAACGCUACACACGCCUAAUAAUCCGGCGUUCACAUUUGUAUGAUAAGAAUAUCGGAGAAUCUUCUGUACAAACUCUUCUGACCUUAUAAAUAACCUGAGAAUACAUGCAUUAAGAUACGUCAACAAAAUUGUUGGUGAGUUCUACAGGUUUUGACACAAAGUAUUUUUACACUAAAAAAUGUUUUAUAAAAUUUAAUCUAGUUAGCCGACAUUUAUAAACACGUACUUUUCUAUCGAAAGUAUAACAUAAUUGAGUCAUAAAAGUAUAUAUAAACUUAUUUAGAAAUGUCAUUUGCUCAAAUUCAAAAAUGCACCAUUUGUAAAAUAUAUAUAAGUAAACCAAACUUAUAACAAAUUCUUACGGUUCUCAUGACCGAAAUGCUCUUUAUAUAAAGAUUUUGAAAACCAAUUUAUAUAAAUAAAGUCAUAUCACACUUUGUGUAAACAUAAAAUAGCCGAGUUUACUCUUAAAACUUUGUACAAACGUUCGUAUAGUUUAUAUGUAAAACUCAAAAUUUUGAAUUUUAUAAACUUUGUAAAUCCGUGUCAUAUUAUUAAUUAAGCAUUAUCUUACUUAAUUUGGAAAUCAACACUUAACCAGUGGGGCAAACUCAUCCCAAAAUACUUUUCAAUAACCGGUAAAUUAUAAAUGCAUAUUUUUACCACUCGUAUAAUUUCAACGACAAAUAUUAACCAUUAUCUUUACAAUUCUAUUCUUUCAAACGUCUCUGCUUACGGAGAAUUGUGUCGUAGGGAGAGGUAGUUAAAUACCUAAACACUCUUACACACUCGGCCCAAAUUGGGAGGAUUGACUCAAUCUAGAUCUAUACUUCUUCGAAUAAAAUCUUCAAUAUAUCAAUUUGUCUAUAACCGACACUAUUCGUCGCUCCGCCACAAGCCAAAAAGGCACAAUAAACAAGCCACACAGACACAAUAUAAAUAUAAAUGGAGGAAUCGAGAUCAGUACUAAUGUUUAAAAACAGUCGUACAAUAACGAAGAAAGAAACACUUGACGCCUGUUGCCUCGUUAGACGAAGUUGUAGCUAGCAACCACAGACAGAAAAUAACCAUUCGCAUAAAUUUUUCCAUAAGAAAUAGAUCUACACCAAGGUUCUUUAUUAUAAAUCUAUGCCGUGUACAUAGACCUAUAGUAUAUGAUUCCUCCUGGAUUAACGGUUAUAGAGCUAGGUGUCGAUUCCAGGAUUUGAUCCCUACAAAGGAAAAAUACACCAUCAUAAAACUCUCUCUUUCACCCCUUUCGAUACAUUCCUCCCACAAACACACACGGGAUACACAAUCCACAAAAUCCAUGACGAUAAUUCUUCAACGCAUAAAAUUCGUCGUUCACUAGGGUCACUAACGCAAAUCUUAGAUUAUUAAGAUUUUCGAAGCUUAGUGAAAUUAGUUAAAUAGUGAAAUUAACGUAGUGUUCGACUAUUGUGGCGAUAAUAAUUUGAGUAGUUCCUUACUUCAGCCGAUAAGGAGGAUGUUCGUUCGCGUAGCCGAAUACUCACUUAUGUCGAUGUUCGAUAAGUUGCAUAAUUAAUAUGAUAUAUAAUUUAAUAGGUAAUAAUCCCCAAAAAUCCAAGAAUUAAUUAUAUUAUCAUAUGUGAUGAGCUUUGUAUCACAACUAAAUGAUUUAUAUUUUUAUAAUAAUUAUAAAGAUAAAUUAUAUCGUUUACCUAUUAAUUGUCUCCACAUUAUGAUCGGGAGUAUGAUCAUAAUAAUUUAUUUUUGGUAUAGUUUCUGUUAUGAAUUAUUAUUUAGUGAAUGACUAUUGGAUUCUCCAUAUUCCCUCAUUACUCUCCAUAAUUAGUGAGCAUUAUAGCAAACAUUAUUAUGAGUUUUAUGAGUGUAGUUAUGCACCACCAUAAUGUGCAUUCAUAUCAUACAUGACCUUUCAUCUUCUUUGUCUAGUAUAAAUAGUGAAUAUUAUGUAUAUAAAGUUUGAUGAUUUCAUCACAAAUAUUGGAAUAAAAGUUCCUUUUAUUCUCAUGUCUUUGUUUAUCUAUAAUGUAUCUUGUUAUUUGAUCAUAUUUUAUAACACGUUAUCAACACGAUUCUACCAUAGAGAGCUUUUAUUAUUUUCUGGUAUGUAUUUUUUAUAAGUUUACAUGUACAAUGCUUACAACUUAUUUUAUGGAAUUUUUGAACUAACAAUUCAUUAACAUACAAGUCUUUAUUUGAUUAUUAUUUUUAUUAUGGAAGACCAUGCUAGAGAAAACAUUCUCUACUUUUCAUGCUACUAACAUGCUCCUGUAGUAGCAAUAUCAUGAGAAAGGUUUAAAAUAAAUAUGAAUUAAUCUCAUGUCUUCUUGUGGCUAAACAAAACAAUGAGUUAUUGAUGAAAAAUCACCAAUCAAUCCCGACCAGUUCUAGUGCAUUCCCUGAAGUGAAUGCAAUAUCAUAUAAUCAUAAUAGUCAUGGGUAUAAUCGAGGUCGUGGAGGUUAUUAUCAUAAAAAUAACAAGAUUACAAGUAACCACCAGAAGUUGGAAAAUAACAAAAAUCCACAUCCUAAUGAUAAAAGUGGUCAAGGCAAAAAAAAAAGUUGAAAAUGUUUGUCACUAAUGUGGAAUGAUCGAUCAUUGGUCUUGUACAUGCCGCUUACCAAAACAUUUUGUUGAUCUUUAUCAAGAUUCUCUAAAAUAUAAAUGUUGCGAAUUAUCUUGUCUACCAGAAGGAACAAGUGGUGCUAUUGAUGGUGAUGAAAAAAUAAUAUAUAAUAGUUUGGUUUUAUGACAUUUAUUAUGUUUUUAUGUCAUAUUCAUUUCAUGAGAAAUGAUGUCAUCACAAUCUUCCCAAAUUAAUAAAAUAUGACUUUAUUUCUCUAAGUCGAAUGUUUCUUGUGUUUUAUUUAUUUAUUGAAAAGAAAUAUGGAUAUUCGCAACAGAAAUAAGGAAGAUAUAUUUCUUACAGACAAUGCAAUAACACAUAAUAUUUUUAAUAAUGAAAAGUAUUUUGCUUACUUAUCAAUUAGAGAAGCAAACGUUAAUAUAAUAAUAUGUAAUGCAAAAAUGAUUGAAGGCUCCGAAAGAGCGAAUAUAAUAUUACAACAAGGGAAAAUAAUUACAAUUGAUGAUGCAUUAUUUUCAUUAAAAUCACCAAGAAAUUUAUUAAGUUUUAAGGAUAUUCGGUCUAACGGAUAUCAUAUUGAAACAACUAAUGAUGGUAAUACAAAUUAUCUCAACAUUACAAAAAUGAUAUCGGGUAAGAAAAGUUUUUUGGAAAAAUUAUAUGUAUUGUCCUCUGGAUUGUACUAUACAAAUAUUACAAUGAUUCAUGCUAUUGGAAAUAAAAAGGUAUGAUAAUACCUUCAAAGUUUGACAUGACCGAUUGGGCCAUCCCGGAUAAAUUACUAUGCGCAAAAAAUUGAAACUUCAAGUGAUCAAUCCUUGAAAAACCAGAAGAUUUUUCAAGCUAAUGAAUUCUCUUGUGCUACAUGCUCUUAAGGAAAAUUAAUUUCUCAUCCAUCAUUGAACAAAGUUGGGUAUGAAAGUCAUAGUUUUAAGAAAGAUUUCAAAGGGAUAUAUGUAGACCAAUUCAACCACCAUGUGGACCAUUUAGAUAUUUUAUGGUUUUAAUUGAUGAGUCAACUAGAUGGUCACAUGUGUGCUUGUUGUCUAGUUGUAAUUUGGUUUUUGCAAGAUUACUUUCAUAAAUAAUCAGCCUAAGGGCACAUUUUCCCGAUUACCCAAUUAUGAAAAUUCGACUUGAUAAUGUUGGAGAAUUUACAUCAUAAGCUUUUAAUGAUUAUUGCAUGUUGAUUUAGAUAACUAUUGAACAUCAUGUUGUAUAUGUUUAUACACAAAAUGGUUUAGCUGAGUCGUUAAUCAAACACAUUUAAUUAAUUGCAAGACCAUUACUAAUGCAUUCUAAACUUCCUACAUUGACAUGGAGCAUGCAAUUUUAUAUGCAACAUCACUUAUACACAUCAAGCCAACCAGUUAUCAUUAGUUAUCCUCUAUUCAAAUGGUUUGCGGCCAGGAACCAAAUAUUUCCAUCUAAGGACGUUUAGAUGUGCAAUUAAUGUACUCAUUUCUCUACCUCAAAGAAGAAUGAGAAUUUAUGUUGGAUAUGAAUCUCCAUCUAUAGUAAAAUAUUUAAAAUCAUCAACCGGAGAUUUAUUUAUAGCUAUAUUUGAUGAUUAUUAUUUUGAUGAAUCAUAUUUUCCAACAUUAGGGGAAGAAAUAAAGAAGUUGGAAAAUGAAAUCUCAUGUACUAGCUAUAAUGAUCCAGUUAGAAUUGAUAUCCCAGAAGGAAAAAUACAACUACAAAUGAAUCUAAGCCACGCCUGAAGCGUGAAAGAACAACCUGUUCUAAAGAUAAAAAUCCUUGAAAAGGAAUGGGAAAAAAUAUAAUUGAUGGUCAAAAAGAGAAAACAAUAUCUCUUGAAAAGAUUAAUGAAGCUCUAGAAGAGCCAAUGACAUAACAAAAGAAUAUAAGGUACCUGAAAAAAAUGAAAAUGAUGAGAUCUCAAUAAAUUAUGUCAUGACAGAAAUAAGACGGAACCAACAUAAGACAGAAGUCGACGAUAAUUUUUCAUAUCAUGUUCCGCAUGUGAUUAUAAAGAAAAUGAGGAUCUUGAACCUAAAUCUAUUGAGAAAUGUAUGAAUAGAAAAUAUUGGCCAAAAUGGAAAGAUGAAAUAAAUAAAGAGCUUAAUUCUCUUACUCAACGAAAAGUUAUUGGACCUGUAAUCCGUACACCAAACAGAGUAAGAACAGUGGGACACGAAUGGGUAUAUGUGCGCAAAAGAAAUGAGAAAAAUGAAGUUGUGAGAUAUAAAACAAUACUUGUUGCACAAGGUUUUACCCAAAGGCCCGACAUUGAUUAUGAAGAAAAGUAUUCUCCGAUAGUUGAUACAAUUACAUUCAGUUAUUUUAUAAGUAUAAUAAUAUAUGCAAAACUGGAGAUGUGUCUAAUGGAUAUAUUUACCGCCUAUUUAUAUGGUUCACUUCAAAAUGAUUAUUAUAUGAAAAUCCCAGAAGGGUUUAAGGUGCCAGAAACACAAACUUCUAAUUCUCAUGAAGUAUAUUUGGUAAAAUUAAAUAAAUCUUUGUAUAGAUUGAAACAAUCUGGUCGUAUAUGCUUCAAUUGUUUUAGUACAUUUAUGUUGAAAGAGUGCUAUAAAAAUGAUCCAUUAAGCCCAUGUGUAUUCAUAAAAACAUCCAGAUAAGAAUUUAUUAUAAUUGAUAUUAUUGUAGAUGAUUUGAACAUAAUUGGAACUCCUAGGGAAUUGGAAAAGGUCACUUCUUGUUUGAAAGAAAUUUUUGAAAUGAAUGAUCUUGGUAAGAUGAAAUUCUAUUUGGGUCUUCAAAUUAAGCACACAAAAAUGAAGUUUUUGUACGUUAAUAUCUAGAAAAGGUGCUAAAAAGGUUUUAUAUGAAUAACUCACAUCCAUGAGUAACCCGAAGGUGGUAAGGCAAUUAGAUGCCAAAUAAGGACCAACUUUAGCAUCAUAAAAAACAUGAAAAUCUUCUUGUUCCCGAAGAACUAUAUCCUAGUGCUAUUGAUGCACUAAUAUAUCUUACUAUUAAUACAAGACCUGAUAAAUCUUUUGUCGUAAACUUAUUAGCAAGAUAUAGUUCUUGUCCAGCAAGAAGAUACUGGAAUAGAGUCAAACACAUUCUUUGAUAUCUUCGGGGUACAAUAGAUAUGAAUUUAUAGUAAUCAAAUUUAUAAAAUGCAAAGUUAAUUAGUUAUGCAGAUGCGGGAUAUUUAUCUGAUCCACACAAAGCUCGAUCCCAAACAUGUUAUUUAUUCACUUGUGGAGGUAACGUAAUUUCUUGUCAUUUUGUUAAACAAAAUUUAGUUGCUUCUUAUUCUAACCAUGCAGAGAUUAUAACAAUUUAUAAGGCAAGUCAUGAAUGUAUUUGGUUAAGAAAUUUAACUCAACACAUUUGCAAGAAUUGUGGUCUAACUUCUAACAGGGAUGUUCCAACCAUACUAUAUGAAGAUAAUACAACUUGUAUAGCUCCAUUCAAGGAAAGAUUUAUCAAAGGAGACAUAACCAAACAUAUAUCACCAAUGUUUUUUUUUCACUCAUGAUCUUCAAAAAGAACGUGCCAUCAACAUCUAGAAAAUUCAAUCCAGUAACAACUUUCCUGACUGGCUUACUAAAGCACUUCCUACAUCGAAAUUUGAAACGAUGGUACGAAACAUUGCUAUGCGGUGCUUCAAGAAAAUCAAGUGAUGUGCUAAUCAGGGGGAGUUGGAAACAUAUUGUACUCUUUUCCUUAGCUAUGUUUUUCCCACCGGGUUUUCUUAGCAAGGUUUUUAACGAGGCAAUUGUUUCCAAUAUCUAUUAUUAAUCAUGUACUCUUUUUCCUUAAUAAAGGGUUUUUCCCAUGAGGUUUUACCGAUUAAGGUUUUAACGAGGCAUGAUACAAUCGUCAUUCAAGGGGGAGUGUUAUGAAUUAUUAUUUAGUGAAUGACUAUUGGAUUCUCCAUAUUCCCUCAUUACUCUCCAUAAUUAGUGAGCAUUAUAGCAAACAUUAUUAUGAGUUUUAUGAGUGUAGUUAUGCACCACCAUAAUGUGCAUUCAUAUCAUACACGACCUUUCAUCUUCUUUGUCUAGUAUAAAUAGUGAAUAUUAUGUAUUAUAAAGUUUGAUGAUUUCAUCACAAAUAUUGGAAUAAAAGUUCUUUUUAUUCUCAUGUCUUUCUUUAUCUAUAAUGUAUCUUGUUAUUUGAUCAUAUUUUAUAAUAAUUUCAAUUAAUUAUUAUAUAUUUGUCAAAUCUUCAUUUAUAGUCUUUUAAGAAAAUGUACCUUUACUUUGUACAUGAAUAUAUCGAAUAACAUAUUUUGUUAUGUAUAUAAUGUCUUAUUAUGAUUUCUCAAUAUUUUUUUGUGUAUACGACGAGUAUUAUAGUUUAUGAUUCGUCGAAUAACUUAUAUCUUCGUAUCAAAAUACUUAUAAUCUUGUGAUUUUUCUUAAUAUUAAUUACUAUAUCACAACAAGGUAUAAUUAUAUCAUUUAUAGCAUUUUACUAAUACUUAUAUAAUUUAUUAAUGCUUUAUACCUUUUAGAUUGUUAUUUUCAUAAAAUCUUAACUAAUAAUAAAUUAUGAUGUUAUUUUAUGUAUAAAACUUGAAAAUCAUCAAAGCUUUAAAUAGACACUCAUGUAUUCUCCCCCCAAAAUGAAAAAUGUAAAAGAGGGGCCGUAGAAACUCACAUUCGAUGCGUGAUCUUGAUAUAGGCUUGCUUCGUGAAUCUUGUCGGGAAUAACCACAAAGUAACCAUUCUUGGGCUUUAAAACAUUUAUGGGUUUGUUUUGUAAAAUAUCAAACUCAAAGAAUUUCUUUUUGUAAUGAAAUAAACCAAAAGGGACUAUUUUUGAUCUUUUAAAACAGCAUAAGGACCAUUUUGUAAAGACUAAGUCCAAUAGGAUUUGCCUUGAAAGGAUUUAUGACAAAGGGGUUAGUUUUAAUUUGAAGUUAUAAACGAAGGGGCUGAUUUCGCCACAUUCUACAAUUAUACAAAGGGACGUGUCUUCUUUUCUUUUGUGCGUCUGAUUAGAACGAACGGAACCAAGCAGCGACGAGGGUUAGCCACCCAGCUCCGACGCCCUACUGCAAUCCUUCUCUCAUCGUCGGCGACAGCAACCAAGGGGAAGAAGAACGGAUCGAAGGCAGGUCGGAGAAGAGGAACUCGAUUGAAAUCAGGAAACCAAGGGGCACCGGUGGUUUAGAAAACGCGAUGGGGGUGGUUCGGUGGUGGAUUUCAAUCGCAGGGAGGAGGGAAGAAGAAGUCCGUCAAAAACGACGAUUCAUCCCUGGGUCUUCGUGAUUCCGUUGCCAACAGCAACAACUCGGAAAAGAAAUCAGAACAACAAGCAACAACGAUCGGGUUUGGGGUGUUCGGAUGGAAUCGGUGAACAGAACAGCAACAAUCGACAUCCAUGGGCGGGGUUUAAUGGCUCCGAUUGGCAGAAGAAGAAGGAAGAAGACGGUGGGUUUGGAUGGUGCUUCAUCGGCCAGUGGGGGCUGCAAUCGGCAGCUCCCUCAUGUUUUCUUCUUUCUGAACCAAUGGUACAAUCACAGAGGGAAUACAAAAACAUUCAGGGGUGUUUGGAUUGUUUCAACCAACAGGUUAAGGAAGAACACAAAAACUUCUUCUUCUUUGAUUGUUUAGAUAGGAACUAAUGAAAGAUUGGAUAUAUAGGGUUUGUUUUGAUUAAUAGGGAAUGAGUAAGAAAAGAACCAAAAGAAGAGGUUGAUGGCCUCUUGUUGUUUUCUUGGCAGCCACCCACGAUCAAAGAAGAAAAGAAAGAAGAAGAUGAAGAACCUUCUUAUGUGGGUUUGUGGUUUUCAUAGUUUGAAGAGUUUACAAGACUACAAGAGUCUUGCUUUUGAGUGUGUUUUUGUAUAACACAAUUGUGUAUAGUUUUGGGUUAGAUGAAGUGUAUAAGAGAAAUACUUCAUUUAUUGUUGUACUUUUAGAGAGCCUUAGAAGCAAACUACUUUACAUGUAUUUAUGUAUGUAUUAACAUGUAUUUUCUAUAUGUAUAAACAUGUAUUGAGUGAUGUGAUAGAAAAUAUAAAUAUAGAUUCUAUAGUUAUAUUGUUAAAAGUUUAAAUUCAAUUAUGUAUGAUUCAACGUGUCAAAAGUACAAUGUCAUAUUUG